This 330-nucleotide ribosomal RNA is filed under the name uncultured bacterium. RNAcentral's name for it is "bacterial SSU rRNA". It matches the Rfam family "Bacterial small subunit ribosomal RNA", at positions 568 to 898 of the family's 1533-position model. The record is from RNAcentral.
UCCGUAGGCGGUGCGGCAAGUCGGAAGUGAAGUCUCAGGGCUUAACCCUGAGGCUGCUUCCGAAACUGCCGUGCUCGAGUGCGAGAGAGGCGAGUGGAAUUGCAGGUGUAGCGGUGAAAUGCGUAGAUAUCUGCAGGAACAUCCGAGGCGAAAGCGGCUCGCUGGAUCGCAACUGACGCUGAGGGACGAAAGCUAGGGGAGCAAACAGGAUUAGAUACCCUGGUAGUCCUAGCCCUAAACGAUCAGGACUGGGCGUGGGCCUCGUACGGGGCUCGUGCCGCAGCUAACGCGUUAAGUCCUGCGCCUGGGGAGUACGGUCGCAAGGCUGAA